CGUUGGAUCUCAGGAUGGCAGCUAAAAAUGGACGUCUUCAUUCUUGAAAAUUUCACCACUGAUUUCGUGCUUUUCUUAAACCUGGGUUUUGUGAAUGAAAUCCAAGGAAACGUGUUAAAGAGAAGGAGGAGGAGCAGGGCUCGACUUUACCAGCACGUUUGUCAUCUCCGUUUGGCAAAUACGCCCACCUUUGUACCAAAGGUGCUUAACAAUCUAAACCUUCUAGAGACUAACAGAUCUCUGGGAUGUACCAGGUGUGCUGCAUGGGCUGCAGAGCUUGUCCGUGGCAGAAAGGAAUGCUGUGAAUGUUCUUUUAUCAUAAAUAAAAGAUUUUCAGUUCAACAUGAUUGUGGUCUUCUCAUUGUUUGCUACUGGCCGGUAAAAUGUGUCACA
Daphnia carinata is the source of this 393-nucleotide long non-coding RNA. RefSeq lists it as uncharacterized. The transcript has 3 exons. The record is from RefSeq and is a predicted model, not a curated record. NCBI's taxonomy places the organism in Eukaryota, Metazoa, Arthropoda, Branchiopoda, Diplostraca, Daphniidae.